RNAcentral lists this ribosomal RNA (539 nucleotides) under uncultured bacterium. RNAcentral's name for it is "partial 16S ribosomal RNA". It matches the Rfam family "Bacterial small subunit ribosomal RNA", at positions 355 to 902 of the family's 1533-position model. The record is from RNAcentral.
UGGGGAAUAUUGCACAAUGGGCGAAAGCCUGAUGCAGCAACGCCGCGUGAGGGACGACGGCCUUCGGGUUGUAAACCUCUUUUAGCAAGGAAGAAGCGAAAGUGACGGUACUUGCAGAAAAAGCGCCGGCUAACUACGUGCCAGCAGCCGCGGUAAUACGUAGGGCGCAAGCGUUAUCCGGAAUUAUUGGGCGUAAAGAGCUCGUAGGCGGUUUGUCGCGUCUGCUGUGAAAACCCGAGGCUCAACCUCGGGCCUGCAGUGGGUACGGGCAGACUAGAGUGCGGUAGGGGAGAUUGGAACUCCUGGUGUAGCGGUGGAAUGCGCAGAUAUCAGGAAGAACACCGAUGGCGAAGGCAGAUCUCUGGGCCGUAACUGACGCUGAGGAGCGAAAGGGUGGGGAGCAAACAGGCUUAGAUACCCUGGUAGUCCACCCCGUAAACGUUGGGAACUAGUUGUGGGGUCCAUUCCACGGAUUCCGUGACGCAGCUAACGCAUUAAGUUCCCCGCCUGGGGAGUACGGCCGCAAGGUUAAAAACCUC